Molecule: long non-coding RNA, 2491 nt
Organism: Salarias fasciatus (jewelled blenny)
Lineage: Eukaryota; Metazoa; Chordata; Actinopteri; Blenniiformes; Blenniidae
Source: Ensembl
UGUUCUGAUCUGGCAACCGCGGAAGCAGGUGCGAGAGCAGUGAAGAAGGAGGAAGUAAAUAUGUCGGAAUGUCUGGUUUCUUCCUUGUGUCGAGCCUCGUUCAGAGGUGGUAAAUGUGCUGAUCUCUGAGCUCCACGAUGACAGCAGGAUAACGAGGCUCUGCUCUGCCGUCAGUGAAGAUGUCCGCUCCACAGGCCGGGUUAAGGCUUCACCCUGGGAUUAUUGCGUCGGUGGUCUUCGUCUGCGUGGUGGCGGCGGCGGCCGCCGUAUUGAUCAUACGGAAAUACUGCUUCCCAGUCAAUGAGGCCACGUACAGAUACUCGGUGCUGAGGCAGAUGGAGGACCAGCAUUCCGGGGUGACGGAGGAGGACGGCGACAGAGGGCCCUGCACAGUCGGAGAGGAAUCAGACGAGGAGCUUCUGGAGUAAAUCUGCAGCCGGGCUUUAGGUGGAUUCACUGAGAAGGAGGUUAUAGAUUCUCACCUCUCAGGGGACGCCCAUGAAUCCCCCUGAUCCUUUGCUUGAUGGAGGCUGCAGGCUAAAGUGAGAGCAGGAAAAAAAAAUAAAAACCCAAAACAACCUCGAGUGUUUAUCUGAGCAUAAAACUUAUCUAUAUUUGUUAGAAUUUAUAUUCCUUCUAACCAGGCUUUGUUGCAUUAUCUAGUGCUAAAUAUAGACUGAUGUGCUCGGUAUAAAGAAGGAAUAAUUUGAUCAGCAGUGAUACCUGAUGUCGGUCUUCCAACAUGCUGCUACAGUUGUGGUUAUUUUAGAAGAGGAGCCUGAUUGCAGAUUUUAAUGAGGAUUAAGACGCAACUAUUCGGAUUUGUUAUUUUUUACUUGAUCUUCAUAUGAAAAAAAAAAAAAAAAGCCAGGCUAAUUAACUUGGAGAAGUAAACUCUAGUUGAGUCUUUUCACAAUACGUACCUUAAAAUAAAAAACAAAAGCCCCAAAUUUCAAGAAUAUUCAUUUUGUGCAAUAACUGUUUUCAAUAGGCAGAGUGAUGCUGAUGAACAAUGCUUUUUGUCUCAACCUAAGUGCGUUUAAGUCUGAUGCAGAGCGCGUCAAUAUAAGACAUUAUCCAGGGAAUAAACCCUCUUUUCACAGCCGCUGCAUUAAGACUUGACAUUUCAGAUAUUUUAGGCCUCUAAUUCAGCGACAGCUAAUAAUAGUCAUUACAGGACUGCAGAUAUUUACCAAUUGGCCCAUUCCUUUUUGAAAAUAUUCCCUUGUUUGGGCCAACGCCAACCCAUUUAAGGUGUGCUCAUUCUUUAAUGGAUGCCGAGUGCUGAGUGAUGUUACGUGAUGUUUUUUUUUACAGUCGCGCUCGCCUCCAAAGAGGAAGAAAGUAGCAGCUCCACAUGCUCGGGAGGUGCAAGUGAGCAUCAGGAUGUGAGCAUCUAGGUGACAGGAUGCUCCUGGCAGCUCAAACUGAUUAAUAGAUAAUCAGAAAUCAGUAUGGUUUCUCUUUAAUUGUUAUUUGUGUGAUCAACAAAUUAAGCUGUGAAGCCAGUCUGUUGUCACCCAUCUCUUCUUGUUAAGAUUUCUUAUUUCAGGGUUUCCAGGCACUUUGUGGAAAGCGGUUGCUAAUGUCGGCCGUGAUGGUGCUUAACUCACACGGAAAUACGUUUCCCAUUAAAUAUGUUUAACCUGUACAUUGACUCAAGUGUGAUGAAUGAAUACGAGUGAAUAUAUGCUUUAUUAUAGGGUUCAAAGUCAUUACCGCUUCUGAAUGCCAGGUGAAGGAUCUGUGAAGAGCCGUGUGUUGAAAAUCUGUCUUAUGGCUGUUCCAUUAACCCAUAAACACUUUCUGCAAUUGAACCAAAUGCAAUCAAACACGAGUGCUUGAAGCUCACGGUGAUGUGCUGCUUUCUGAAUGCUUAAAUGUUCCCUGUGAUUGGUGAAUGAUAGACCACAAUGACCCUCUGCUGGUUGUCUUUAGUAUUACACCUUGAAUUUCAAGACAUGAUUACUCAACCAUGAACAGUGCUCUCACUAAAAUAUUGAGAACUGAAAGAUGUGACCCUGAGACGCUGUUGAAGGAUGUAUCGAAGAAUUAAGACGUUUAAGUCCCCAUAAAGAUACACAUCAUGUUAAUUUACACAAUCUUACACUGUAGUGUAAAGGUGGCCAAAGUCAUGCAUAUUUUACCAUAAUGAGUUUCAAUAAAAUAAUGGACUUUAGUUCUGUUUCAAUAUUCUCUGUACAUUAUUUAGUGCAAUGCAGUGUCAUUUUUUAUACAGCUAAAGAAAAUAUGUCUUUCUGGACUCAUUGGGUACCUGUUUAAACUUACAGCUGUUUCAGUUUGCAGAUGUUCAACCUGCAGUGUUUCAUAUUUCGAGGAGUUAAAACUCAAGAUUCAGGUGCUACCUUGUUGAGCAAAUGGGCCAAACUGUUGUUUUAAUAAUUUAAUAACUUUACUAAUACCACAAUUAGUUUUUUGAACCAAUCAUGCUUAGUUUAGCAGGAAAUGCAAAUAAAUGCGUAUGUUAACA